Long non-coding RNA from Mesocricetus auratus (golden hamster), 1773 nucleotides. RefSeq lists it as uncharacterized. Lineage: Eukaryota; Metazoa; Chordata; Mammalia; Rodentia; Cricetidae. The transcript is spliced from 3 exons. The record is from RefSeq and is a predicted model, not a curated record.
GGAAGGCAGCAUUGAGAGAGGCCUCACACUCAGGACUCCAGCAGCAGCUGCCUGGGUCUCCAGACCUACUCCUUCCCUUCCCUGUCCUCUUAAAAAGAAGCCAAACAGAUAAAGAUCUCGAUUACAAUCGGAGGGUCAGACCGGCUAGUCUGUAGUCUGUAGCCGUGUGAUCUCACAGGAACGGGAGCGGGAAGAUUUCAAGUUCAAGACUGGGUUGGGCAAAAAAGUGAGACCCUGUCUCAAAAUAAAGGCAAAUGGGUCUGUAGCCCAGGGUUGGAGCGUUUGCCUGGCGUGCAGGAGAACCCUGGCUUCCACCCCCAAGUCCUGAAAAUGAAAGUCAAGCGCAGGCUGGACUUCAGCUGCUACAGUGCCGGUUUCAAGCACAGUUAUUCUGAGGGGCACCACGCUGGCUGUGGCGGUAGUUGAUUCUAUGAAAUGGUUCCACGGUGCGAACGUAGCCCGCCGACUUGCCCAGUCCCUUGUCACAGAGAAGUAGUCAUUGCGUGGUGAUCGAUCAACAAGAAGCCGACAUGCAGGCAGAAAUCAAGAUUCCAGGUGUGAAGUCCUAAUAACAGCAUCUGGGCUCCCGAAUUUAGCUGGCACAAGGCUCGUCCAUAUUUCUGCAUUUACAUGUUUAAAGUCGACUUUCCAUUUUCUUUAAGCUUGUUGAAGUAGAGCUAUUCUCAUUCGCAACCCAAACAACAGGAAAUAAUCCAGAAUUAAUUCGGGACAAAGCAUCCUGUUAAAGUGUAUGGUCUCAGAGGGGCAAAUAAAUUUCAAGCCUGCAACAUAAAUAUAAUCAAAAUAGCCCAGACGUAUUGAUAAAGCUCUAAUAAUUAUUUUCAUUUUUAAGAUCUGAUUUUAAAAUUAAUAUAAAGUGGUAGUAUCAUUUUGUAAGGAUGAAUUUGCUGCUUUUUUUACUUUAUGAAGCCUUGGAAAAAAGACAAUGUUAUUGGUUCCCAGCCCACAUCAGGCAGCUCACAACUGUCUGUAACUCCAGGUCCCCGGGAUCAUGGCCUUAGAGGCCACCUGCAUUCACACACACACCUAGCCAUGAUUAAACAUAAAAUAAAAAUAGAUAUUUAAAAAGUUUCUUUCAUGCAAAGACAGCCUCAAAAGCACUGAAUAUAGCAUAGUGACAUGAAUUACAUCCCCCCAAAUAUGUGUCUGUAUAGUAUCACAUGUAGUCUUUACUUUUAUAUAUGUAAUUUACAAUUUUCUUACUUCAAUUAAAUAAUUUAUAUAAACAAAGAUCCCUGGUUAAAUUUGGGUUGUUUCUUAAAAGUUUGUUGGGAACCUUUGUAUUUGGAGUAAUUUUUCUACCAAGAUUAUAUUGCUCUGAGCAGUGCUUAUUUAGUUUAGCGCAUGGGACUUCUUUUGCUAUAGAUUGAAUCAUUUUUCACUUCCAUUUGAUUUGGUCUUCCUGCAAGUUUCAACUUGAAUGUUUAAUUUUUUCCAUCAAUAUUUCAAUCACAUCACUGAGUGAUGAAACCUUAUAGUGUUACUGGAAAUUUAAACUAUUGUCUUAAAUAUUUUGAUUAAAAAUUACAAUACCAAAAACAUCUCCAUUUCAGAGUCCUAAGAAAAGAAAUUGCUUUGGCUUCCUUCCUUUAUUUAUUUAUUUUUUGAUCUUAGUUUCUAAUAAUUUCCACAACACAUGAUGAAAACUGCUUGAGUGAUGUUUUAAACUAUUUUACAAAUAAUUCACUAUAAAAGGUAAAGAAUUGAAAAACAAAGAAGCAACCCAGGCAGUGGUGGUGCAUGUCUUUACUU